GUGCCAGCAGCCGCGGUAAUACGUAGGUGGCAAGCGUUAUCCGGAAUUAUUGGGCGUAAAGCGCGCGUAGGCGGUUUUUUAAGUCUGAUGUGAAAGCCCACGGCUCAACCGUGGAGGGUCAUUGGAAACUGGAAAACUUUGAGUGCAGAAGAGGAAAGUGGAAUUCCAUGUGUAGCGGUGAAAUGCGCAGAGAUAUGGAGGAACACCAGUGGCGAAGGCGACUUUCUGGUCUGUAACUGACGCUGAUGUGCGAAAGCGUGGGGAUCAAACAGGAU
RNAcentral lists this ribosomal RNA (275 nucleotides) under uncultured Staphylococcus sp. RNAcentral's name for it is "partial 16S ribosomal RNA". It matches the Rfam family "Bacterial small subunit ribosomal RNA", at positions 505 to 778 of the family's 1533-position model. Lineage: Bacteria; Bacillati; Bacillota; Bacilli; Caryophanales; Staphylococcaceae. The record is from RNAcentral.